UCAUUGCCUACAUUAUGGAGGGCAUCCGUCCCGAGUAUAGUGUAACACCCUAACCCCAACAAAUAUUUUAUAAAUUAAAAUACAAAUAACAAUCCAACACAAAAUGGUGCUACGCAUUCAUCACUUCAAUAUAAUUAAAAAUAUUGGAGCGGAAAAUAAGUUCAAACAUCGUCACAUUGUUUAAAAAAAAAUAAAACUGAGUUCAAAAAAUGAAUUCCAAAACAAAGUAUAAUAAUUAAGAAUAAACCCCAAUCCCUAGUGUUACAGAAUCAGAGCUUGACCCAAAAUAAAAUAAAAGACUCCAAGCAGUGAGAGAAAACAACGAGAAAGGCUCCUAUGUUUCUUCUUCGUGCGUUUCUGUACCACAAGAGAUGCAUAAGCACAUGAAUAGAUUCAGAUAAAAUAACACAUCAAUUGCAUUUAGGCAUGUAUACAUUACACUUAUAAAAUAUUCACAUAUAAACAUAUACAUUCAUUUAAUAAAAUCAAUAGACACCAGUCAACAUCUUAUAAUGACGUGUAGGCAUUAACAACAUUUAGGAAUAUCGAAUAGACAUUUACCAAAAUACAGAUCAUUCAUGUAUAUCUAUAUAGAAGCACAUCAUUGAAAAAUAAACCUUUAAAUAAAUACACAUCUUUAAAUGACACGUCUUUUAAUCACACAUCUUCAAAUAGACUUGCAAAUAUGUAUGCAAUGUCCCUAACUCGAUUCUAUAUGCAUGCCGAUACCGGUUUCUAAUCAACAUUUGUAUGUCGGGGUUGUGUUACCGAAUAUACAUACAACAUUCGUCAUUCAACAUGGUCCUAAAGAUGGUAUGAUGCAUGAGGGAAGACUCUCUAAAUACCACAUAUUAGCACAUCAUCAACAACUCACAAGUACAACAGAAAUCACCUAUCAGACUCAUCAUUUACGUCGUCAUUAAUCAACAUUAUACAACAUCUUUUCGUCAUUAAUCAACAUCAUAUCGUCACAUCUUCAUUUAAUAACAUCAUUAUAUAAUCAUCUUCAAUUAUCACAUCAAUUUGACAAUCAUUGCAUAAUUCAUAAAUUGCACUCAAUCAAAUAAUUCAUCAUUUACACUUCAUCAGAAAAUUUAUCUAAAACUUAUUAUUAAAAACACCUUUAAAAUAGUAGAAAUAAAUAUAUUUAUAAGAAUUAUCUUUAUAAAACCACUUUAAAAUUAUAAGAUAUUAUUCUUAGCUAAUAUAAUAGAAAUUCCUUGAUUAACAUGUGUGUAUGUAUAGACGGUAUGUAAAUCGGUAUCUUCCUAAAAUCAUGCUAACAAAUCAUUACUCUAGUUUAAAAUAUAAUUUAGUUUUAGAAUUAACCGAUAAACCGGACAACCUUUAUUUGUCAAAAGCAUUAAAUCUAAUUUCACAAAAGGUCAAAUUACAAGGAAGCAUCGACAGUAUCAAAAAAUAUAACAAACUAUCUCUAACCUUAUCGUUUUUCUUUAACUCACAUUUUCAAAUAUCACAAAAUACGCUUAGUCAAAUAAUUCAUCAAAUCAUCAAUUAAUGGAAAAAAUAGCUAUUUAUACAGGCAAGACUUUUACUAUAAUGAGACAAAUAUGCAUCAUCAAAGAGAAAGUAAACCAUUCUGAAAACUUAAUUCAUUGUCAUAUUUCUUUCAUGAUUAAUUCAUAUCACCACCUCCUAGAUAAUAAUCAACCCUUCAUUAUAACCAUGCCCUACCUUAAUACUUUUAGAGUUAUAUAUAUCAUGGUCAACCUAAGAUGGGAGGAAAAGCAUUAACCUAUCUAAGAGUUCCUUAAUUAAAGUAGCGAAUUCAUUCGAUUUUUUAAAGGCACUUGACUAUAAUUUUUGUCAACACAAUGUAUACCAUAUUAUAACCCUAAAAGAAAUACCAUAGUUAAUGGCCUUUACAGCAACACAUUUCACUCACGGCCUCUUAAAGUUAAAACUAUACCUAUACUACACCAAGGUCAACAAUCUAAAUAGGUUGUAGUUAAAAAUUAUGCAGGACAAAUCACAAUUACAAAUUCACGAAUCUUUGUCGAAAUAGAGUAUCUGAGAAAAAAUAUAAUAAAAGAUAGUACAAAAAUAUAGGAAAAAAUCAAAAUAACCAAAAGAAGGCAUGGAGUUUCAUAACGGUUUACGAGAGCAUCAUAUAUACAGCAAUCGUUCUUAACACAUAAUUAGAAACUAUAUUUCAAUCAUAAAUUUAGCAUAUGAAAGUAAUGAAUUCACAAUAAUAUAUCCAAAAUCACAACAUGAAUUUAUGAAAAGAAUCAUGAUAAAUAAUAAGAAACAACACCCUUCACUACCGAUAUGUUCAUGCAUCCCUUGUGGUGAAGAUAGACUCUCCCCUUACCUCUAGUUUGCCGAAUUGAUGAAUUUCUACGGUUGAAUCACUCCCUAAGCUCUUCUCUCUUUGCCUCCUUUGCGUUUUUCUUCUCAACAUUAGUUUUUCUUCUCAACCCUAAUUUAUGAAAAGAAUCAUGAUAAAUAAUAAGAAACAACACCCUUCACUACCCAUAUGUUCAUGCAUCCCUUGUGAUGAAGAUAGACUCUCCCCUUCCCUCUAGUUUGCCGAAUUGAUGAAUUUCUACGGUUGAAUCACUCCCUAAGCUCUUCUCUCUUUGCUUCCUUUGCGUUUUUCUUCUCAACCCUAGUUUCUUUUGCUUUGCUAUCUUUUUCUCUGUUUUGUUGUAACCCUAGUUCUAUAAUACUCUCCUCUAUUUAUAACUACCAUUUGAGUUUGUUUCUCACCUAAUUUUUUUUAGUAGGCUUACUCUCUGCACACCCCUAGAUUGGUUAGUAAUUCUAUUGUAACUAUUCAGCUCUACUAUUUAAAUCUCUAUUUUACUAAUACGCCUUUAUUCUCUCCUAUUUGCUAAAAAUGUCACUUUCUCCUUAAUUUCUCAUAAUCUUCUAUUUUUCCACAACUA
This 2912-nucleotide long non-coding RNA is filed under the name Medicago truncatula (barrel medic). RNAcentral's name for it is "long non-coding RNA (MTRU_LNC004939)". The record is from RNAcentral. Lineage: Eukaryota; Viridiplantae; Streptophyta; Magnoliopsida; Fabales; Fabaceae.